AUACGUAGGUGGCGAGCGUUGUCCGGAAUUACUGGGCGUAAAGGGCGUGUAGGCGGGGGGACAAGUCAGAUGUGAAAUACCGCGGCUUAACUGCGGGGGUGCAUCUGAAACUGUUCUUCUUGAGUGUCGGAGAGGAAAGUGGAAUUCCCAGUGUAGCGGUGAAAUGCGUAGAGAUUGGGAGGAACACCAGUGGCGAAGGCGGCUUUCUGGACGAUAACUGACGCUGAGGCGCGAAAGCGUGGGGAGCAAACAGGAUUAGAUACCCUGGUAGUCCACGCUGUAAACGAUGGAUACUAGGUGUAGGAGGUAUCGACCCCUUCUGUGCCGGAGUUAACACAAUAAGUAUCCCGCCUGGGGAGUACGGCCGCAAGGCUGAA
RNAcentral lists this ribosomal RNA (377 nucleotides) under uncultured bacterium. RNAcentral's name for it is "bacterial SSU rRNA". It matches the Rfam family "Bacterial small subunit ribosomal RNA", at positions 523 to 898 of the family's 1533-position model. The record is from RNAcentral.